Molecule: ribosomal RNA, 495 nt
Filed under: uncultured bacterium
Lineage: Bacteria
Description: partial 16S ribosomal RNA
Rfam family: Bacterial small subunit ribosomal RNA
Source: RNAcentral
GAUGAACGCUGGCGGCGUGCCUAAUACAUGCAAGUCGAGCGAACGGACGAGAAGCUUGCUUCUCUGAUGUUAGCGGCGGACGGGUGAGUAACACGUGGAUAACCUACCUAUAAGACUGGGAUAACUUCGGGAAACCGGAGCUAAUACCGGAUAAUAUUUUGAACCGCAUGGUUCAAAAGUGAAAUACGGUCUUGCUGUCACUUAUAGAUGGAUCCGCGCUGCAUUAGCUAGUUGGUAAGGUAACGGCUUACCAAGGCAACGAUGCAUAGCCGACCUGGGAGGGGGAGCGGCCCCCAGGGAACGGAGACCCGCACCAGACCCCAACGAGGGGCAGGAGUAGGAAGUGUGCCACAAGGGGGGAACGCCGGACGAGGCACCGACGCGUGAGUGAGGAAGGUCUUGGGCUGGAAAAACUCUUUUUUUUGGGAAAAAAAUUUGGGUAGGGACGUGGCCAGAUUUGGGGGGACCCGAAAAAAAACGCCGGGUAAAUACGCG